UACGGAGGGUGCAAGCAUUAAUCGGAAUUAUUGGGCGUAAAGGGCGCGUAGGCGGAUUUAUAAGUCAGAUGUGAAAUUCCGGGACUCAAUUCCGGAGCUGCAUUUGAAACUAUAGAACUAGAGGGAUGGCGGAGAAAACGGAAUUCCACGUGUAGCGGUGAAAUGCGUAGAUAUGUGGAAGAACACCUGUGGCGAAAGCGGUUUUCUAGCUAUAACCUGACGCUGAGGCGCGAGAGCAAGGGGAG
Molecule: ribosomal RNA, 245 nt
Filed under: uncultured bacterium
Lineage: Bacteria
Description: partial 16S ribosomal RNA
Rfam family: Bacterial small subunit ribosomal RNA
Source: RNAcentral